UGGCAUUGGAAAUUCGGAUCUUAUCCUCCAGGGGGAGCCCCGUCGCCCCCCUUUCCCCCUCUCUCGCCCUCAAACUCCAGUGUUUGCACUUCUGCCGUGCAAAAGAGACCACCGGAUCUAUCCAGCAAACGGCGCUGUUUGAGAAGCCUUAAUCAGAGCAAAGGCCAAAGGGUUCCAUUUGUGACAUGAGCGAAUCACAGGGCUUACUGUGUUAAUUUUCCAGUAAUAAUACCAAAAGUCAACCGGCGUGGAAAUUCGGAUCAUAUCAAGUAGGAUCGUCGAACCUUUCCCCUCUCUACAAAAAUCGCCAUCAAACUCUAGGGGUUGCACUUCAUCUGUUCAAGACCACCGGAUCUCACCAGAAAAUGACACUGUUUGGGAAGCUUUGGUUUUACCUUUAAUCAGGUACUCGAAACUGGAUUUGUUGAUAUGCCAAGUUACUUUGUUUUGUUUUUUAGGUAUUAUAUGCUUCCCAGUAUUUUCAUGUUUUUGAUUGUUAUUGUCCUGGUUUCAUGAGAUUUGUAGUAAGAAUAUCGAAACCAGAAACCCAUUACCCUGAAGUGUGCCAUAUAUCCCUUGGAAGAGUGAACUUAGUUGUCAACCCCAACGUGCUGGCCUAGUGUUCAAGGCAUGGGACUAGGGGGUUUCUCCUUCCUAAGCUCUCAGGGUUUGGUUUUGAUCUAGUGUUCUAUUGUCCAUUAUGGUCCAGUGUGCGGCUGGGAUUCAUAGUGAUACAUUCAAGGCUCCAGAUCAAGCGAUGUUAUAGUUCUGUUAACUCCAUUAUGAUGGCCUGAACACCUAAGUUAUGAAAUAAAGAAGAAGAGUGAACUUAAUAGUCAGCAACAUAUUUCUGGAUAUUUAGACACGUGUCUUUAUACAAAUAUGUUUUCUGCCAAUAAAAAGUUGCACCUGCUUUUUUCCGUCCAUGAGCAGUCAUUUUACAAUCAAAGAUGCAUGUUCGUUGCAACUGAACUUAUCAUAAAAGUUGAUUAUUGAACCAAGUUAUUUUUUGAAGUUGAUUAUCAUAAAAGUUGGAACUUCUCAAAGAUCAUGUACUUAUAGCUUUUUUGAAGUUGUUUUUUGGAAUUCUCUGAAUUUGGAAAAGCCAAAAGUUGUGGCACUUAAGGCACAAUUAACUCAAGUUAUAGUUAAGGUACUACUGCAUCAAAGGUUCUAAAAAGUUUGGAAUGGUCGUAUCUUCUUUAGCCCUUAUGUGGCUCAGCCCCUGUUGCGCUUCAAUAGGGGUGGAUCUACGCAAGGGUUCGAGGAACCAUGGCCAAUCUCUUGGAAUCUUUGGUAGUUCAAGUACUUUUGAGCAAACAGUUGAAUAAAGCACUUUUGAAAGAAUUUAAAAUCUACUUCACUCAAAGGAAAAAGGAAAGAAAUAAGAUAAUAAUUCAACUCAAGACCAAUGUUGAAAUUAAAAAUGCCAAAAGUUGUGGCAAUUGAACCACAACUAACUCAAGUUAUCUAGUCAAGGUACUACUGCAUCAAAGAUUCUAAAACGUUUGGAAUGGCUGUAUCUUCUUUAGCCCCUAUUGCGCUUCAAGAGGAGUGGAUCUACACAAGAGUGCGAGUUCAAGUACUUUUAAGCAAAUAGUAUAAUAAAGCACUUUUGAAAGAAUUUAAAAUUUACUCCACAAGGAAAAAGGAAAUAAAUAAGAUAACAAUUCGACUCUAGACCAGUGUUGGAAUUAAAGAAGCCAAAAGUUGUGGCAAUUAAUCAGGCCUAGUUUCCCAAAAGUGUUAAGGUACUAAAAAUACUAAGGGUGUCUCCAAUGGCAUAACCAAAAUCAGAUAAUCAAAAGUUGCCACAUUAACUUUUAGUUAUCCAUUUAAGAGAUUGGUAAGCUUAACAAUAUUGAGGUCCACAAUGGUCCAUAAUAAAAAUUUAUUUUAGUAGAUACAGAUAGAGAGAGAGUAAGGAAUAAGUAGAAGUAGAUUGGUCUAUUGAUAGUGAUGGAAAUACAGAGAAAGAAAAAAGAGACAGUGGUCCUCAUUCAAUUUAGCUAUCCAAAGCGAAAAAAUUGCUAGUUUUGGUUAUCUGAAGGCCAAAAUUUGGUUAUUGAUUAAUGGGUUGCUAAGUUUGGUUAUACCAUUGUGAGGCAUUUUUUGGACAAACAUUGUUAGGUUUAGAAAUCUUUUAGUUUUUGUUGGAGUUUGUCCCACAUCGGUUAAUUAGCUUCUCCAAAACUAGUAUAUGAGCUUGGACGGCCUCUCCAUUCCUUGUCAAUUGGUUUGGAGUUAAAUGCUUUAACAUGGUAUCAGAGUUAGGCUUUUGGAGAAUUUGUAUCCCCUUGCUUGUGCCACACCGUUGUUUGUUGUGAUCUAAAUGUUGUGGAUCGUUUGUUUAUCUCUCCACGUGCGAGUUGGGAAUUGCACUUGUAGGAGAGUGUUAGAGUUUAGCCCACAUCGGUUAAUUAUCUCCUCCAAAACUAGAAUAUGAGCCUGGUUGGCCUCUCCACUCCUUGCCAACUGGUUUGGAGUUUGAUCCUUUAACAGUUUUGAUUAUGCCAUUAUGGAUAUCCCAAAGGGGCUUUUUUCUUUUUGUAUUUUGUAAAGAAAAAAAGAAGAAGCAUCUUUAGUACUUAUAGCAACUUUGGGAAACUAGGCCUAACUCAAGUUAUCAAGUUAAAGGUACUAUUGCAUCAAAGGUUCUAAAAAGGUUUGGAAUGGUCGUAUCUUCUUUAGCCCCUAUGUGGCUCCGCCCCUGUUGUUCUUCAAUAGGGGUGGAUCUACGCAAGGGUUCGAGGGACCAUGAUCCCCAAUCUCAUGGAAUCUUUGGUAUUUCAAGUACUUUUAAGCAAACAGUACAAUAAACCACUUUUGAAAGAAUUUAAAAUCUACUCCACUUAAAAAAAAAAAAAAAAAGGGAGGAAAGAAAUAAGAUACUAAUUCAACUCUAGACCAAUGUUGGAAUUAAAGAAGCCAAAAGUAGUGGCAAUUAAGUAGGCCUAGUUUCCCAAAAGUGCUAAAAGUGUUAAAAGUGCUAAAAGUACUAAAGGGGCUUUUUUCCCUUUGUAUUUUGUGAAGGAAAAAAAAAGUAUCUUUAAUACUUUUAGUACUUUUGGCACUUUUAUCAACUUUGGGAAACUAGGCCUAACUCAAUUUAUCAAGUUAAGGUACUACUGCAUCAAAGGUUCUAAAAAGUUUGGAAUGGUCUUAUCUUCUUUAGCCCCUAUGAAGCUCCGACCUUGUUGCCCUUCGAGAGGGGUAGAUCUACGCAAGGGUUCGAAGGACCAUGACCCCCAAUCUCAUGGAAUCUUUGAUAGUUCAAGUACUUUUAAGCAACAAUAUAAUAAGACACUUUUGAAAGAAUUUAAUAUCUACUCCACUUCAAAGAAAAAGGAAAGAAAUAAGAGACUAAUUCAACUCUAGACCAAUAUUGGAUUAAAGAAGCCAAAAGUUGUGGCUAUUAAGUAGGCCUAGUUUUCCAAAAGUGCUAAAAGUACUAAAAGGGCUUUUUUUCCCUUUUGUAUUUUGUGAAGAAAAAAAAGCAUCUUUAGUAUUUUUAGUACUUUUGACACUUUUAUCAACUUUGGAAAACUAGGCCUAACUCAAGUUGCCAAGUUAAGGUACUACUGCAUCAAAGGUUCUGAAAAGUUUGGAAUGGCCGUUUCUUCUUUAGCCCCUUUGUAGCUCCGCUCCUGUUGCGCUUCAACAAGGGUGGAACUACGCAAGGGUUCGAGGGACCAUGACCCCCCAAUCUCUUGGAAUCUUUGGUAGUUCAAGUACUUUAAGCAAAAAGUAUAAUAAAGCAGUUUUUAAAUAAUUUAAAAUCUAUGCCAUUUAAAUGAAAAAGGAAAGAAACAAGAUACUAAUUAAAUUCUAGAACAAUGUUGAAAAGAAAAAUCAGAUAGUCAACUUGUUCUUGCUUAUCAAAAGAAGGCAUGCAAGACAGCCCGUGCCCUCCUUGCCAUGUGAGUAGCUAAAAUUUGGCUUUCGGAUUUGAUAAAUGCGAGGGGAUGGUGGUUGGGGAUUUACCUGGAAUUUUUGUUUCAAGGUGGUUUGGACAAUUUGGCAUUUUAGAUAUAUAAACUCUGACGGAAGAAGUCAAUUUUGGUCAAUCCCAAAUUUAACAUGCUGCAAUGCCUAAACUUCUCUCCAAUCCUAGAAUGCUGGAAAAAUAGCCAUUGGUGUUGUUUUGGAUGAUAUGGCAAUGUCUGACACAUGCUCCAAAUAUAACUACAAGAUUUGCAUUGCGGAAGUUUGGCAAGACCAACGAAAAAGAGCUUUGGCCAAAUUUAGGGAAUAGUAGCUUAUUUGGCAGUUGCAUUGGAGAUGCUAUCACUAUGGACAAGAACAAUAGAAAUGCAGUUUGCCAAAGUAAAUCUUGAUUGAAGGGACUAAAUACAGAAAAAGCUCUGAAAUAAGAAGAGCCCAACUUAUAAUCUCACACAUAUUCAUAUGACUAACGUGAACACUCUUGAAAAUGCUUGCAAAAUGAUUUUGUAAGGCCUAGAUAUACAUCCACACUUGACUCUAUAUAACAUAGACCAUGGCAAAAAAAAACAGAGUUUGAAGUGCCUUGGUUCCUACAAACCUCCCUAGCUUUUGCUUUUUCUACGCCUUGACAAGGGUGGGUCUCUGGCAGGGGCCAAUGAAUUGCCCAAGCUUCAAAACCUUUUCUACUCAAAGUACCCUUUAAUAAUUGGCUUCCUUGCUGCUAUUGCCAAACAACAUCCCAAGUACCUUUUUUUGGUCUUGAAUGCAUAGCUAAAAUAUGCCAAGUACAUGGGCGAAUUUGUAAAUAGCUUUCUUUUGCCAAACAUUGCCACAUAAUAAUUCAAAAUAACAUUUUUGGACGAUAUUGAAAUAGUAUGUAUGCAAAUAGAAAGUUACAGACUAUAGGUAAUUUGAGUGGACUAGUUGUGAAAGGGAUUAUUAGUAGCAGAUUAUGGUAUUGUACAUCUAUAUUUCAUGGUCUAUUUAUCAAACGGAUAUCUAAUGACCGUGAAAAAACGAAUAUAUGAAGGAUAUGUCGCCCUCUUUGAUUUAUCGUUCAAUCCGAUAUUUUAAUUCGUAGCCUUCCUUUUUGUGGUAAAAAAAUGGUCCUUUUAUUUUAGUAUUAUUGAUAUAAAAGAUGUUAUUUUAGCUAUUCGAGCCAAGGUUAUCUGGGGGGAGAUAGAGAGAGGGGUGACUUUUUACCCGAAGGUAAUCGUGAUUUUUACGUAUAUAUAAUAGAAUUGGUGGUAGGUAUAGUAGUUGCUCAUUUAAUAAAAUUAUGAAGCCAUAAUAUAACUUGGCUGGUCAGAUUUGCAAUGUGAACAUUAAAAUGCUAAACAUACGGAUACACGAAUAUUUGUGGAUAGAACCUCACCAGAAUGAGUUUGGUUAUAUCCUUAUUUUAAUUACCAGAGAGAGAUGUCUGGAGGAGAAGAAAUUGUGAGAGAGGGAGAGAUGUGUGGGAGGGAGUGAUAUUGUGCUGUCCGAAGAAGAAACUGAAUGUGAGGGAGAGAUGUCUGGAGUAGAAGAAAUGGUCGCAGAGGGAGGGGCAUUGGUAAAAUUGAAGAAGAUCAUCGACCAUGAGCAUCCUCUGACUAAGAUAGAUGGGCGUUUGUGUAUGGAUGAAAAGCUGCAACCAUUGUGAUCUUUACAUAUUCUGGCGUACUAAUUUCGCUUGCCACACUUGCAAGUUCUUCAUCCGCACUUGUUGCCUCAAACAUGUGAAAGAAUCAGUUACAGUGGCCGCCAAAGGAUCAGAGGAUCAGCUCCAGCUCCAAGCUCAAUCAAUUGCGAAUCAGUUAGAGAAGUCAAGCUUUAGUUAGUUAGGCUUGUCAUGGGUGCAAUUUUAAUAACAUGUGAUGAAAUUCCAGAGUCUGUGGCAGAGUGAUAGGAUCUACUAUUGCUAUAUAAGGAGGUGUGUCUGUAUUGUUGAAUUUUUUUUUUGGUCGGCGAAAGUCAACAUUGUUGGUUGUAGUUAGUAAUAUUUGAACCAUGUCAAGUGCAUAAGAGUGCAUGUGGUGUCAGUUGGCUGGCACUCCACUUGCCUGUAUUCUGGAGUUGAGUUGAGAAAAAGAGAAUUUAUUUGUUAUGAA
Molecule: long non-coding RNA, 6038 nt
Organism: Rhododendron vialii
Lineage: Eukaryota; Viridiplantae; Streptophyta; Magnoliopsida; Ericales; Ericaceae
Exons: 3
Source: RefSeq, a predicted model, not a curated record